GACAACGUUUCGAAAGGAACGCUAAUACCGCAUACGUCCUACGGGAGAAAGCAGGGGACCUUCGGGCCUUGCGCUAUCAGAUGAGCCUAGGUCGGAUUAGCUAGUUGGUGGGGUAAUGGCUCACCAAGGCGACGAUCCGUAACUGGUCUGAGAGGAUGAUCAGUCACACUGGAACUGAGACACGGUCCAGACUCCUACGGGAGGCAGCAGUGGGGAAUAUUGGACAAUGGGCGAAAGCCUGAUCCAGCCAUGCCGCGUGUGUGAAGAAGGUCUUCGGAUUGUAAAGCACUUUAAGUUGGGAGGAAGGGCAGUAAGCUAAUACCUUGCUGUUUUGACGUUACCGACAGAAUAAGCACCGGCUAACUCUGUGCCAGCAGCCGCGGUAAUACAGAGGGUGCAAGCGUUAAUCGGAAUUACUGGGCGUAAAGCGCGCGUAGGUGGUUUGUUAAGUUGGAUGUGAAAG
RNAcentral lists this ribosomal RNA (463 nucleotides) under Pseudomonas putida. Its description in RNAcentral is "bacterial SSU rRNA". It matches the Rfam family "Bacterial small subunit ribosomal RNA", at positions 142 to 600 of the family's 1533-position model. Lineage: Bacteria; Pseudomonadati; Pseudomonadota; Gammaproteobacteria; Pseudomonadales; Pseudomonadaceae. The record is from RNAcentral.